Molecule: non-coding RNA, 46 nt
Organism: Sarcophilus harrisii (Tasmanian devil)
Lineage: Eukaryota; Metazoa; Chordata; Mammalia; Dasyuromorphia; Dasyuridae
Source: Rfam
CACAAGGUUCUUUUUAGAACCAAAUAAGAUAAUAUUUGUAAAAAAA